Molecule: ribosomal RNA, 292 nt
Filed under: uncultured bacterium
Lineage: Bacteria
Description: partial 16S ribosomal RNA
Source: RNAcentral
GGACUACUGGGGUAUCUAAUCCUGUUUGCUCCCCACGCUUUCGCGUCUCAGUGUCAGUACCGUCCCAGCGAGCUGCCUUCGCCAUUGGUGUUCCUCCCGAUAUCUGCGCAUUUCACCGCUACACCGGGAAUUCCACUCGCCUCUUCCGGACUCUAGCUCGACAGUAUCCGCCCGCCUCCCGGGGUUGAGCCCCGGACUUUCAGAGCGGACUUAUCGAGCCACCUACACGCUCUUUACGCCCAAUGAUUCCGGACAACGCUUGCCCCCUACGUAUUACCGCGGCGGCUGGCAC